RNAcentral lists this ribosomal RNA (119 nucleotides) under Lepisosteus oculatus (spotted gar). Lineage: Eukaryota; Metazoa; Chordata; Actinopteri; Semionotiformes; Lepisosteidae. The record is from RNAcentral.
GUCAGCAGCCAUAUCACUCUGCAUCUCACAACUGGCAACCCACUGAAGCUCAGCAGGUGUGAGCCUGGUCAGUACCUGGAUGGGAGACCUCCUGGGAAAAACUAAGGUUGCUGCUGGAA